UCGCGUCAGGAUAUGCCUAGGUGGGAUUAGCUAGUUGGUGAGGUAAGGGCUCACCAAGGCGACGAUCCCUAGCUGGUCUGAGAGGAUGAUCAGCCACACUGGAACUGAGACACGGUCCAGACUCCGUACGGGAGGCAGCAGUGGGGAAUAUUGCACAAUGGGCGCAAGCCUGAUGCAGCCAUGCCGCGUGUGUGAAGAAGGCCUUCGGGUUGUAAAGCACUUUCAGUCGUGAGGAAGGUAGUGUAGUUAAUAG
Molecule: ribosomal RNA, 253 nt
Filed under: Vibrio parahaemolyticus
Lineage: Bacteria; Pseudomonadati; Pseudomonadota; Gammaproteobacteria; Vibrionales; Vibrionaceae
Description: partial 16S ribosomal RNA
Rfam family: Bacterial small subunit ribosomal RNA
Source: RNAcentral